AGCAAGAUAGCUCACCUGGAUAGAGCACCUGUUUAGUCAUGUGUGUGGCGCAGGUUCAAGCCCUGCUCCUGCCA
Molecule: transfer RNA, 74 nt
Filed under: Erinaceus europaeus (western European hedgehog)
Lineage: Eukaryota; Metazoa; Chordata; Mammalia; Eulipotyphla; Erinaceidae
Rfam family: tRNA
About the family: Transfer RNA (tRNA) molecules are approximately 80 nucleotides in length.
Source: Rfam by way of RNAcentral